This 10011-nucleotide long non-coding RNA is filed under the name Capsicum annuum. Its description in RNAcentral is "long non-coding RNA (CANN_LNC016730)". Lineage: Eukaryota; Viridiplantae; Streptophyta; Magnoliopsida; Solanales; Solanaceae. The record is from RNAcentral.
UGACCGAGGGGAAGGUGUUAGGCACCCCUCGAUCCCGUGGUUCGACCACGGUAGCUUGGUGGAGCAUAUUGGCUAAUUUGACACCAUGAAUAUAUAAACCACAUAAAACACAUAAAACAAGCAACAAACAAAUCAAACAAUGUUCAAAAGCAAAAUAAUGUCCAGUCCGAGUUAUACAGUCCCGAAAAUAGAAAAAUACGGAAAUGUAAAUCCUAUUCUAAACUAAUCCUAGACUAAGCUCCAAUGCCUUACCCGACGCCUUGGGCCUUCAUCACGAACGUCCUCCGAGUACAAAAUACUUUGGGCAUUUCCCGAAUAAAAUAAUACAAGUACUUCGGGGCAUUCUCCGGCCAAAUGAUACAUUUGAUCCAAACCCAUAAAACCAAGCCAUUCAACACACAUUUUCAACAUUCAACAAUCCAUGCGUUCUAAAUUUUCCUACCCGAACCUACAAUUCGCCUACUAGAUUUAAUUUAUCACAAUUCCCACAAAUUCAAUAUAAUCGAUGAUCUAAAAUUAAUACUAAUUUACUAAUCGCGUUUAACCCCAUCCCAAAUUUCUUUUAACCCGCGAAUUUUAACAUGAAAUAAUUAUCAAGCCAUAUCAACAUCGAUUUCAUAUCAACGACUAUCUAUCCAAAUAAACAACACCAAGUAUCAACCAAAUACUCAAUCAACCAUCGUCAAACAAAUAAUGAUAAUAAAAGAGUAGAGUCGAGAAUUGAACCUCAAAAGUUUUCGAUUGACUUAAGAAGAAAGAUGAGAGCCGCUCCGAUAACCUCAACGAACCUCAAUUCGAACCCCAGCUCCGGUAUGCAUCCUUCUUUUAUUUUCUACUGACCCAAAAUAGAAAAUUGCCAAAAUAGACGAAACCAAACCCAAUUUUGUGCAAAAGAAAGCCUCAAUUCGGACCUGAAUCGCCAAUUUCGGACCCAGCUCCUACCUAAUUUUGCACACCGAAAGGAUCUAUUCCGUCUGCUUUCCAGGGGGUUUCGGGAUCGGACUCACUGCUUCCGUCUUACCAGAGUUUCAGAGAGCUCGGACAACAUCAAAAAAUGGAGAAUGGCCCAAAUUCAGGGCAACAAAGGACUGUUAACCCCCGAUGUUUAACUAUUUUCUCUCGAUCCCCUAUCUCUUUCGAUUUCUAUCUCUCUCUCUAUUUUUCUCUAUUCUUACCCCUUUCGAUCUCUUCCUCAAUCGAUGACGUGUGUGUGAAGUCGUGUGUGGUGGAGUGUGAAGCUAUGCGUGUGUGCGUAUUCCAUGAAAAUGGAACAAAAAUUGGUCCCCUGAGGAAGAUGAGUCUCUGUUCCAACUACUCUCUCUUUUUCUCACCUACAUCUUGCAAUCUCUCUUUGUGUGUUAUGGAGGAGACCAAAAUAUUGUGAGUGUGUGUAUGGUUCUUGUAACAAUAUCGUAAAGAUGAAGAAAAGAACAAAAAAAUAAAGUCCUCAAAAUGGCCUGAGGUCGAUUUUUUUAUGUAGAAGAUGAAAAAAAUGAAGGAGCGCAUAUUGUUGUGUGAAUAUUAUUCUGUGGGCCCCCUCUUUUUCUAUAUUUUUGUUGUGUAUUUUGGUUAAAAGGAAUAAAAAAAUGUAAGGGUGGGGGUGAGUGGGGUAGGUAGGGUAGGGGUAGGGUGUGGAUGAGGUGUAAAAAUUAGUUAGGAUAAGGGAAUAUUUUGGGAUUGGUGAUUUAAUUUGUUAGGAUGUGUUGUAUUUGUUUUCUUGUGGGGAAAGUGUAGAAUGGGUGAGGGUACAAUAAAAUGAGGUAAAAAUGAAUAAAAUUGAACUUGGGAGGGACAAAAUUAGGUGUCUACAGCAUUCUCCCUUUGAAUGUAAACAUAAGUGUGUUCAGACAAAGAAGUGGACAACGAGACAAAAUUUUGUCUCGACCAUUAUUCAAAAAGAAUAAAACAGAAGGAAGGAGGGAAACCAAGUCUUGACUUUGGACAUCAUACUCAUCCCUAGUUAUGAGGGAAUCAAGUCACGGGUAUCUCAAAUGAUUGAAAGGAGAGGGACUAUACCGAUUUGGAGAGUCGAGUGAGAUUCCAUCGAGAUUCCGGUCCGCGGCUCUAUUAUUACAUUAAAAAUGAAAAUUACAAGUUAAAACAUAAAUAAAAUUACAAAAAUCCUAUCUAUGCGGCUUCUUUUGGACUCUUGACUUGAGUUUCAUCACCCUAUUCUUCAGGCGGGCUCCUGACUUGCAAUUUCUUCAACUUGUUGCCUGACUUUCAAUUUCUUCACCCUGUUCUCCAGGUGGGCUCCUGACUUGCUAUUUUUUAGUUUCUUCACCUUGUUGUUUGACUUUCCAUUUAUUCUCCCUGUGCUUCGGGUGGGCUUUAAUGUUGCUUGAAUUAUCAAAAUAAGGAAGUGCGUCUUCUUACAGAUAUUGCUUGAAUUACCAAAAUAAGGAAGUGCGUCUCCUUACCAAUGCCGCUUGAAUUACCAAAAUAAGGAAGUGUGUCUCCUUACCAAUGCUACUUGGAUUACCCAAACAAGGAAGCGCAUCUCCUUACAAAUGUUGCUAGAAAUACCCAAACAGGAAAGCGCGUCUCCUUACCAAUGCCUCUGAAAUUACCAAAAUAAGGAAGUGCGUCUCCUUACAAAUGCCGCUUAAAUUAUCCAAAUAAGGAAGUGCCUCUCAUUACAAAUACCACUUGAAUUACCAAACCAAGAAAGUGCGUCUCCUUAUCAAUGUCUCUUGAAUUUCCCAAACAAGGAAGUGCAUCUCCUUACAAAUACCACUUGAAUUACCAAACAAGGAAUUGCGUCUCCUUACAAAUACCGCUUGAAUUACCAAACAAGGAAGUGCGUCUCCUUACCAAUAUUGCUUGAAUUACCCAGAUAAGAAAGUGCAUCUUCUUACAAAUGUUGCUUGAAUUACCUAAAUAAGGAAGUGCAUCUCCUUACAAAUGUUGCUAGAAAUACCCAAAUAGGAAAGUGCGUCUCCUUACCAAUGCCUCUUGAAUUACCAAAAUAAGGAAUGUAUCUCCUUACUAAUGUUGCUUGAAUUGUCCAAACAAGGAAGUGCAUCUCCUUACAAAUAUCACUUGAAUUACCCAAAAUAAGAAAGUGCGUUUCCUUACAAAUGUUGCUUGAAUUGUCCCAAACAAGGAAGUUCAUCUCCUCGAGAUAUUGGAUUAUGAGCUUCGUAGUGGUUUUUGAUUACCAGACCUGUGCAACAAAAUUGCCUCUUGCAUUUGUAUAAAUGAGAAUAUUACGGCCUCUGAUGUCUAGGCUUUAAAAUUCUUGAUCUGAAUGUAACAUGUGUUCCAGUUUCAUACAAAGAAAACUUGUGAGUAUAAAAACAUAGUGGUUGGUUUGUGGCUUUAGAUUUUGCGGCAAUUGCUCUUGCCUUCAUCAUAUUUAACCUUGUUUCCGACCAUUAGCAUAUGUCACUGACUUGCUGCAUCAUUGACCCAAACUCAGAUUAUUAAGACUGACUCUGAAACAAACACAGUAUCUCUGCUUUGCCAUGCUUCUCAGAUAAACCCUUUGAACCUUGGUAUUUCCAUGAGUUUCCAGACUUGUCAGUUGACAAAAAUUUCUGCAUGUCUUAUUUCGGCUAUAAUCAUGUCUCUUUCAUGUGUUGGCCUUUUGUCUUGCUUUGCACAAUUGAAGAAGCUGGUAGCCAGUUUUGAAAUCUUUUUUCACUUGUUUUGAUAUGGACUUGACUCAAAAACAAGAGAAAAAUGAUGAUGACUUUUAUUUGGACAACUGACUCAAGAAAACAAAAUAAAAACAAAAGAAGAAAGAAAAGACAAUGAAUGUUCCCAUUUGAAACAAAGAAAUAAAAUUUUUAUCUAGAAAUGACAGUCAACUCUAAUGAUUAUGCCAUGCAUUUUAGAUUAAGCUACCUGAUCUUUACAUCCAAACUUUCUACCAAUUGUUGUUGAGUUAAUGGCCGUGAAACUGAGUUAUUUCUUUAGGUCAAUUGCAUUUAAGACCUCAUUCGGCUAGUGCCACCUUGCAGGGUUUUUACCAACAAGCCUCUCGCAUUCUCUUUUUCUCAGUUCACCAUUAUCUUAUGGUGUCUGUGAGGGUUUUUCACCAAUGAGACUCUUAUUUUUAUUUUUCUCAACUCACAGUCGUCUUACAGUGCCCGUGAGGGUUUUCACCGAUAAGACUCUCUCAUUUUUAUCUCUCUCGACUUACCAUCACCUUAUGGUGCCCAUGAGGGUUUUCACCAAUAAGACUCUCAUUUUUAUUUCUCCCCUGAUUUCUUAUGCUGAGGAAGACAAGUAGUUCCCAAGAUACGUCAUCAUAUCCCUUGCAUGCUUAGCCUUAACAUUCUCAAAGAUUAAUCUGAAGGUCUUUCUUUGGUUGUACCUUGGAUUUUGGAUAGGGUUAGAAAGAAAGGAUGACAUGAGGCUUAAACGACACUUGAAGUGGGGUAGGACUUACAACUUUUGGAAUCGACUCAAAUAAUGAGAAUUAACCCAUGCCCCAGUUUCUUUGGCUAGGUGACUCUAAACUAUUUAUUUGGUUGGACCAAGCCCAGAGUAGGGCAACCUACAUAUCUCACCCUCGAAAGAGGAGAAUCAGGUCACACGUAGUUCUAGCAGCUUGUUCUUUUGAUUGAUUCUGAUUUUUUUUUCUCUUUUCUCUUUGGGAAUUUUUUUCUGACCCUAUCUUUAACACUCUUCUCUUUUCUUUCCUUUUGGACACAUUUUUUUUUUCUGACACUUUUCUUUUGAGUUUUACUGACUCUAUCUUGAUUCUAAAAGAGGGGUAUGAAAUAAAAUAGGACUAAAUCUCAAAUGGGGUAAACAAAGGAUGACACAAUGUUUGGAUAGCAGAAUGAAAUACCUUCGUCACAUCAAUCCUUAAAAAUGCAAGUAUAUAUCAUGCAAUAUGAAAGUGAAAGAUGAAAGAUCAUUAUUGACAUCUUUUCAGCAUUAACUUUGACUGAGUCUGUGUGUCACUACUUCUUCCACAAACUCCACCUUUGUUGUACAUUCCUCACAUCGAAUGACUCAUGCUUUCGUGGAGCUGAUUUUUCUAUCCCUCGGGAUCACAAAUCCGCUAUUUGACCUAAUUGAGCAAUGUUUUUCAAUUGAUGACCAAAUUAUUCUUCUGAUUCUCAAAAUAAUUGCCUUAAUUUUCAAAGAAGGUUUGAAUUUGUAACCAAUGUCUCAGCACUCUACCUAUUUUCUCAGAUGCUCUCUUUUUCUAACUUUAACCCUCUGAUUCAAUGUUUCAUGGUUAAGCUAGAUUUUAAGAUCCGGCUGAAAAUUCACCAGGCAUGUCAUAACACUAGAAUCAACAUAAAAUAUGAUGUGUAAAGAAAACAAACACAUAAUUAAAAUACAAAGGAAAAAGGACACUUCAUUUAGUUGAAAUAAAAGAUAGAAAGGUUUGAACAUAAAUGACACAGGGACAAAACAAGAUAAAUCCCAAACUAAAACCUUGAAAUAAUUCAAAAAAUAGAAAAGAAAACAAAACAAACUACCAGACCUCUUCCUAGUAGGGAGAGGAGUGACUUCUCAAUUGCUCAGCCUGACAUCUUAGCCACUGGUUUGCAUAUCAGCAUGACUAGAGCUUUUCUCACUGUCAAUGGUCUGAACCAUAUUUCAAAGAACGACAAUCUUCAAUACUGUGUCCCUGAACAUCAGAAUGAUAUUCACAUCGUACAUUAGCAUAAAAACUUCUUGAAUGUGGGUCAGGAGUAUACCCAAGAAGAGGAGUGAUCAUGCCCUGCUGUACCAAUCUCUGAAAUAAACUUGCAUACGACUCUCCGAUUGGUGUGAAACUAUCCCUCGACUUCUGUCUCAUUUCAGCGUUUGACUUAAAUUGAAAACCAGGCCUAGAAGGGCUUCGAUAUGUAUGUGGAGUUAGAGGAUGAAUCGACAGAGUUGGAGCGUGCCAGUGUGGGUAAGAUGGAGGUUGAACAUAUGGUUACACAUUAUACACUUAAUAUGUAGGUGGAGGAAUGAAAUAUAAUGGAUUUUGGGAAAGAUUCUAUGGAUCUUGGGCAUAAACUUGGGUUUGAGCCUGUGGGUAACGAUGGUGUGGUCCUCUUGCUCGUGCCUGUUGUCCAACUACAAUGGCCGAUGCAUCUUCCUCAUACUUUUUUCCUCCGAGACUUCCCGAACCUUUUUGAAUUGCUAGAGUAGUCGCUUUCAAUGUUGCCAAACUCACAAUGCUGUCGGUCUUAAUUCCAUCCUCUAUCAUCUCCCCCAUUUUGAGGACCUCAAUAAAGGGCUUGCCUAAUGCAGGUAACAAGUGUUGAUAAUAUGUUUCAUCCUGCGCUUGAAUAAAUACCUCUAUUAUCUUACUUUCUUUCAUUGACGGUUUUACCCUAGCAACUUGUUCACGCCAUCUAAUCGCAUACUCUCUGAAAGUCUCAGUAUUUUUUUUCUUCAUGUUAUUUAGGGAUUUCUCAUCACGAAUCAACUUCACAUUGUAUUAGAAUUGUUGCACAAAUUCAUUAGCUAGGUCAUCCCAACUAAUCCACUUAUCGAUGUCUUGGUCAACAAACCAUUCUGAAGCUAGGCCUGAAAGACUCUCACUGAAAUAUGCCAUGAGUAAUUCUUCCUUUCCCCAAGCACCCCUCAGUUGGUUGCAAUAACGUCUCAAAUAUGGUACCGGAUCUCCAUGUCUAUCAUACUUCUCAAACUUCGGCAUUUUAAAACCAAAAGGAAGAUGAAACCCUGGAAAUAUGCACAGAUCUUUAUAUGAGACACUUUUGUGCCCCCCAAGUCCCUGGAGGUCUUUCAUAGCCAGUUCUAACCUUCUCAAUUUUCUGGUUAUUUCCUCUUGUUCUUUUGUUAUCACAGGUUUCUCAGUGUUAAGAGGAAAUUCAGGCGGAUGAGUAUAGCCAUAAGGAUUAGUUGACUUAAAUAUGAGCUCAAUUGCAUGAUGUUGAUCAGCAAAAAUAUUCAAUACAGGAUCUCUCACAGAGUGGGGAGGCACAAGUUGUGGUUAAACCUCAAAAGUAGGAGCUUCGGGUGGGGGGGGUGCUGCAAAAACAUGAACAAUGGGUGGAGCCGAGCAUGUGGUAGCUUUGUGUUGAGGAGUGAGGAAAUGAAUAUUGGAAGUGUUUGGAUAGUGUUGCCUCGGUGUAGGUCCUGAUGCAUGUUGUGGUGUGUCAACAAAAAUAAGAAACUGUGUGUAUGUGACACUGGAGGAAAGCUAGAAAAAUAUUCCAGAUUAUCAGCGGGAAAUGGAGGAGGUGCCAACCCAUUAGCCCAAACUCAAUGUAUUUCUAUCAUUUGUUGCCUUAAUUUUUUAAUCUCUUCAUUAGCUCCUAAAUUCUCAUUGCCCGAACUCCCUAUCUGAUCAGUGACAAUAAACUCGAUAUCCUUGUUGGUCAUAACUUUCUUUGUAACUUGGUGCAAUAUGGAGGACCAGCCAAAAUACCACAAACCAACCACCUUAAACUAACUGAACAAGAGAUAGCAAAUGCGUUAGAAUUCAAUAUUUUUUUCUCAAAACCUUUUUUUCUUUUUGAAAAGGUCACCGAACCCAAGAAGGGUGCCUACAUAUCUCACUCCCGAGAGAGGAGAAUCAAGUGUGCGUAGUUCAUGAAGUCUUGCCAAAAUGGUCAAUUAAACUCUUUUUCCAUUCUUUUUCUUGAAACUUCAAAGAGAAAAGAAAAUAACAAAUUGUCAAAAGAAUCGACAAAAAUCUUUUUUGAAUUUUUCAUCUCAACAUCCCUAUACAAAAUGACAUCUAUGAUCACCCAAGAAAAUCUUUUUGAGUUUUCAAUUUUACAUUUCAUGCGAAAAUAAAACUUGAACCAAUAAAAGGAAAAUCUUUUUUUUUGUAGUUUCCUUUUAAAGAUGUAUAAGAAACACUUACUCUAAAUAAAGAGUGGAGAAAAUCUUUUUGGAUUUUUCAAAUAAGAUUCCCGAACCAACAAUAGGCUGCCUACGUUUCUCACUCCCGAAAGAGGAGAAUCAGGGAUGCGUAGUUCAUCCAGAUUGGACAAUUAAGGAUUAAAUGACAAACUAAAUCCUGAAUUUAGAGACACGACUAAAAACAGACAAUAAAAGUAAAACCUUUUUUGGAUUUUUAAGUAGAAACUAACACCAACAACUAUGACAGAAAAAUUCUUUUUGAUAUUUUCGUUAUAUAAAAAUGUACAAAGCUCCUAUUAAAAGGAAAAAAAUAUUUUUUGGAGUUUUCAAAUUGUGAAUACUUACUAAAGAAAUAAAGGAAAAAUCUUUUUAAAGUUUUUGAUUUUUUGGGAAAUGAGUGCAAAAAGUAAAAAAAAAAACAUUUUUUUUUGAAUUGUGAAUAACAAAAGCCAAAGGACCAAGUGGGUCUUGCAAGAUCUCAAUAUGAUGCAAAUAAACAUGACCUAAAGGCUGACCUACGCUGGGGUUCACUAACAAGGCUGUUCGAGGGAGCGUAUGGUCGAUAGUGGCUGCGCUAGCUUUCUACCUACUCCAUACCAGCCGAUGGCUCCCUCUCCUAAAAAUAAAGGUGACUCAACUAUAGGUCGUGUACACAACGUGUACUAAAAAUAAUUUUUGACUCUUUAAACUGAUUUGCGAACAGAGAUCCGGCUAAGGAAUUCUAUUGACCGAGGGGAAGGUGUUAGACACCCCUCGAUCCCGUGGUUCAACCACGGUAGCUUGGUGGAGCAUAUCGGUUAAUUUGACACCAUGAAUAUAUAAACCACAUAAAACACAUAAAACAAGCAACAAACAAAUCAAACAAAGUUCAAAACAAAAAUAAUGUCCAGUCCGAGUUAUACAGUCCCGAAAAAAAUACGAAAAUGUAAAUUCUAUUCUAAAAUAAUCCUAGACUAAGCUCCAAUGCCUCACCCGACGCCUCGGGACUUCAUCAAGAAUGUCCUCCAAGUAGAAAAUACUUCGAGGCAUUCCCCGAAUAAAAUAAUACAAGUACUUCGGGGCAUUCCCCGGCCAAAUGAUACAUUUGAUCCAAACCCAUAAAACCAAGCCAUUCAACACAUAUUUUCAAUAUUCAACAAUCCACACGUUCUAAAUUUGCCUAUCCGAACCUACAAUUUGCCUACCAGAUUUGAUUUAUCACAAUUCCCACAAAUUCAAUAUAAUCGAUGAUCCAAAAUUAAUACUAAUUUACUAAUCACGUUUAACCCCUUCCCAAAUUUCUUUUAACCCGCGGAUUUUAAAAUGAAAUAGUUAUCAAGCCAUAUCAACAUCGAUUUCAUAUCAACGACUAACUAUCCAAAUAAACAAUACCAAGUAUUAACCAAAUACUCAAUCAACCAUCGUCAAACACAUAAUGAUAAUAAAAGAGUAGAGUCGAGAAUUGGACCUCAAAAGUUUUCAAUUGACUUAAGAAGAAAGAUGAGAGCAGCUCCGAGAACCUCAAUUCAAACCCCAGCUCUAGUAUGCAUCCUUCUUUUGUUUUCUACUGACCCAAAUAGAAAAUCGCCAAAAUAGAUGAAACCGAACCCAAUUUUGUGCAAAAGAAAACCUCAAUUCGGACCUGAAUAGCCAAUUUUGGACCCAGCUCCUACCUUAUUUGGCACACCGAACGGAUCUAUUCCAUUUUAUUUCCAGGGGGUUUCGGGAUCAGACUCACUGCUUCCGUCUUACCAGAGUUUCAGAGAGCUCGAAAAACAUCAAAAAAUGGAGAAUGGCCAAAUUCAGGGCAACAACGGACUGUUAACCCCCGAUGUAACUGCUUUUUCUUGAUCCCCUAUCUCUUUUGAUUCCUAUCUCUCUCUCUAUUUUUCUUUAUUCUUACCCCUCUUGAUCUCUUCCUCAAUCGAUGAUGUGUGUGUGAUGUCAUGUGUGGUGGAGUGUGAAGUUGUGCGUGUGUGCUUAUUCCGUGAAAAUGAAACAAAAAUUGGUCCCUUGAGGAAGAUGAGUCUCUGUUCCAACUACUCUCUCUUUUUCUCACCCACCUCUUGCAAUCUCUCUUUGUGUGUUAUGGAGGAGACCAAAAUGUUGUGGGUGUGUGUAUGGUUCUUGUAACAAUAUCACAAAGAUGAAGAAAAGAACAAAAAAUUGAAGUCCUCAAAAUGGCGUGAGGUCAAUUUUUUUAUGUAGAAGAUGAAAAAAAAUGGAGGAGCGUAUAUU